UUAGAGCAAUCGGAUGAAGUAUGUUUUUGUGAGCAAAUUUACCUAUCUCUCUGAAUUAUCCAAAAUUCAGAAACCGUACUGCCUUGACAUUAUUGGUUCACCAACAGAGCAGAACUGCCUCAGCCAUCAAUAAUAAUUCAACACAUUAGGAUGAGGCCUACGCAUGGGCCACAGAGGAUAUGUAAUGAUUUCAGGUACUAACUCCACAUUCUGUGGUAAGAGAUGAGGAUCCAGGAAAUGUAUGGACACCUAUACCCCGAAGAACGUCGUUAGGAAAAUAAUAGUGGGAUCCGGAAGCAAAAGGGAAACAUAGAAAAGGGCACAAGAAGGUGAAGAAAGUGAAAGAUAAACUUUCUUUUUUACAAUGUUUUUAUGGAUAAGUUCAGCCCAUAAAUGAAAAAUUACCUGUAUGGAUGACAUUAUCAGUUUUCUUUAAGUCAAGAUCUUCUUUUUCAUCUUCCUACAUGCAGCUUAAAUCUCAUUUAGGAAGUGAGGUAUAAAAUAACAAAAAAAUGCAUUUAAUUUGCUUAAAGAUGCUUGUAAGGUAAAUUUGCGCCAUACUUUGCUUUAUUCACAUCAUUAUAGAAAAUAUUUUGUUUCUCAGUUGUUUCUGGCCAUGGCUCAAGGAAUAAAAACUUCCACUCAUUCCUUCAGCCAGAAAAGUUAACAAGAGGAUAUCUUUUUAUUAUCUUUGUCCCCUCACUUCCUUCUUCAGAAAGCAGAGAAUUAGCAGAUUGGUGAGAUAGAGGAAAUAAAGGUUUGAACAGGUGUCUUAAGUCACUACCUGUUUUGGGAGCACUUUGUUCUCAGUUUAUUUGAAUUUGAUUUCUCAAUUUAAUGAGUUUACCAGAGCAGUGUCCACUACUCCCUUGUGGAGAUACUUAAUGGCACAUAGAUACAUUUAAUUAUGGAAAUAAAGUAGUUAAUCUGGCUAGUGAUUAUGCCACAUUGUUAGAUUUAUCUUUUUCAAUAGAAGAGCUAUUCAUAUUUAUGACGUCUGUAUUCAUUUUUUCAGAAAUGUGACUAUUUUUCAUAUAGCACCAAUACACAUAAAAGAUAUAGUUUUAUCUAAAUAUUUAAUCUGUUACAUAUUUUUCUCAGUUACUAGCUAGAGAUACCCUGGUUGUUUCCAAUUUGUUGUAAAUUGGUAAUUUGAUGCUAAACAAAUAGUGCUAAGGUAAGUCUUCUCAUUCAUAACUUGACAGGCUUUGCCAGUAUAUUUUAGAUUAAAUUUGGAGAUUACAGUUGAGUCAACUCAUGUGAACACUUUAAAUUUUGCUCCAUAUUAUCGCAUUCCUGUGCAAAAGCAACACCAAUUUACAAUGCCA
This is a non-coding RNA of Saimiri boliviensis boliviensis (Bolivian squirrel monkey), 1328 nucleotides long. The record is from RefSeq and is a predicted model, not a curated record. Lineage: Eukaryota; Metazoa; Chordata; Mammalia; Primates; Cebidae.